Molecule: small nuclear RNA, 104 nt
Organism: Panthera pardus (leopard)
Lineage: Eukaryota; Metazoa; Chordata; Mammalia; Carnivora; Felidae
Source: Ensembl
CUGCUGACUUCAGCAGUACAUAUACUAAAACUAGAAUGACACAGAGAUUAGUAAGGUUCAUAUGCAAGGAUGACAUGUAAAUUUGUGAAGUGUUCCAUAUUUUU